GAUGAACGCUGGCGGCGUGCCUAAUACAUGCAAGUCGAGCGAACAGACGAUGAGCUUGCUCCUUUGACGUUAGCGGCGGACGGGUGAGUAACACGUGGGUAACCUACCUAUAAGACUGGGAUAACUUCGGGAAACCGGAGCUAAUACCGGAUAAUAUUUCGAACCGCAUGGUUCGAUAGUGAAAGAUGGCUUUGCUAUCACUUAUAGAUGGACCUGCACCGUAUUAGCUAGUUGGUAAGGUAACGGCUUACCAAGGCAACGAUACGUAGCCGACCUGAGAGGAUGAUCGGCCACACUGGAACUGAGACACGGUCCAGACUCCUACGGGAGGCAGCAGUAGGGAAUAUUCCGCAAUGGGCGAAAGCCUGACGGAGCAACGCCGCGUGAGUGAUGAAGGUCUUCGGAUCGUAAAACUCUGUUAUUAGGGAAGAACAAACGUGUAAGUAACUGUGCACGUCUUGACGGUACCUAAUCAGAAAGCAACGGCUAACUACGUG
Molecule: ribosomal RNA, 497 nt
Filed under: uncultured bacterium
Lineage: Bacteria
Description: partial 16S ribosomal RNA
Rfam family: Bacterial small subunit ribosomal RNA
Source: RNAcentral